GUACGAUAAAGGCAAAACCACUGAAAAGUGGUGACGCAAAGCUAUAGGGGCUAAAUUGGGCAAUCGUUUCAUGUCCAAAAUGUCAGCCAGCUGCCUGU
Molecule: non-coding RNA, 98 nt
Filed under: Paenibacillus sp. yr247
Lineage: Bacteria; Bacillati; Bacillota; Bacilli; Caryophanales; Paenibacillaceae
Description: c-di-GMP-I riboswitch aptamer
Rfam family: c-di-GMP-I riboswitch aptamer
About the family: GEMM was predicted in a large-scale screen for bacterial structured RNA regulatory elements. Genes associated with GEMM are involved in a diverse array of functions, including chemotaxis regulation, signal transduction, secretion and chitin.
Source: Rfam by way of RNAcentral